This 71-nucleotide transfer RNA is filed under the name Ovis aries (sheep). It matches the Rfam family "tRNA". Rfam says of the family: Transfer RNA (tRNA) molecules are approximately 80 nucleotides in length. Their secondary structure includes four short double-helical elements and three loops (D, anti-codon, and T loops). Lineage: Eukaryota; Metazoa; Chordata; Mammalia; Artiodactyla; Bovidae. The record is from Rfam by way of RNAcentral.
UCCCGGGUGUCUCAGAGGUAAAGAAUCUGUCUGCAGGGCAGGAGACCUGGGUUUGAUCCCUGAUUUGGGAA